RNAcentral lists this ribosomal RNA (223 nucleotides) under Streptococcus iniae. RNAcentral describes it as "partial 16S ribosomal RNA". It matches the Rfam family "Bacterial small subunit ribosomal RNA", at positions 210 to 432 of the family's 1533-position model. Lineage: Bacteria; Bacillati; Bacillota; Bacilli; Lactobacillales; Streptococcaceae. The record is from RNAcentral.
UUGCUUCACUAUGAGAUGGACCUGCGUUGUAUUAGCUAGUUGGUGAGGUAACGGCUCACCAAGGCGACGAUACAUAGCCGACCUGAGAGGGUGAUCGGCCACACUGGGACUGAGACACGGCCCAGACUCCUACGGGAGGCAGCAGUAGGGAAUCUUCGGCAAUGGACGGAAGUCUGACCGAGCAACGCCGCGUGAGUGAAGAAGGUUUUCGGAUCGUAAAGCU